This 756-nucleotide non-coding RNA is filed under the name Sogata hakonensis. Lineage: Eukaryota; Metazoa; Arthropoda; Insecta; Hemiptera; Delphacidae. The record is from RNAcentral.
AUAUAAAUUAUUUGAUCAAAAUAAGGGGGAAGGUUAUUAAGUGAAAAUACAUGUAAAAUUUUAUAUAGGAGAUUGGUUUAAAAAGUUUAGAGGGGAUAUUUUCAGUGUUUAAAAUUAAUAAAGUUAUUGGGGGGUAACUAUAGUUAAUUUAUUAUUCAUUGGGGGUAAAAUGAUGUGCCAGCAUUCGCGGUUAAACAUCAUCCUAAAAUUUUUUAAUUUAAUUGGGGGGUUUAAUGUAUUAAACAAAUAAAUUUAUUUUAAUGGGGGUGAAAUAAAUUAAUUUUUUUAUUAUAUUGGAGUACUUCAAAAUUUUAAGUUUAAACUAGGAUUAGAUACCCUAUUAUUUAAAUUUAACAAAUCAUCUUUUUAGGAAUUUAUUUACAUAACAAAUUAAAUUGAUUUGGCGGUUUAUUAAACUUUUUAGAGGAACCUGUUGAUUAAAUUGAUAAACCACGAUUUUUUUUACUUUACUUAUUUUGUAUAUCUCUAUAAUUGAAUAUAUUUUGAGAUAAAAUUUUCUUUACCUAAAUUUUGGGUUUAAUUUAGGUCAAGGUGCAGUUACAGUUGAGUUUAAAUGGGUUACAUCAAUUUAUGUUUGUAGAUUUUUAAUUUAAAUUAACUUGAAAAUGGAUUUAAAAGUAAAUUUUUAUUUAAUUAAAAUAAUUGAAUAAUGCUCUGAUUUAUGUACAUAUCGCCCGUCAUUCUCAUUAAUUGAGACAAGUCGUAACAAAGUAGAUGUAUUGGAAAAUGUAUCUA